RNAcentral lists this ribosomal RNA (253 nucleotides) under uncultured bacterium. Its description in RNAcentral is "partial 16S ribosomal RNA". It matches the Rfam family "Bacterial small subunit ribosomal RNA", at positions 524 to 776 of the family's 1533-position model. The record is from RNAcentral.
UACAGAGGGUGCGAGCGUUAAUCGGAAUUACUGGGCGUAAAGCGUGCGUAGACGGUUAUUUAAGUCGGAUGUGAAAGCCCCGGGCUCAACCUGGGAAUUGCAUUCGAGACUGAAUGGCUAGGGUGCGGUAGAGGGAAGCGGAAUUUCCGGUGUAGCGGUGAAAUGCGUAGAUAUCGGGAGGAACACCAGUGGCGAAGGCGGCACUCUGGGCCGGAACUGACGCUGAGGAGCGAAAGCGUGGGGAGCGAACAGG